UACGUAGGGUGCAAGCGUUAAUCGGAAUUACUGGGCGUAAAGCGUGCGCAGGCGGUUUUGUAAGUCUGACGUGAAAUCCCCGGGCUCAACCUGGGAAUUGCGUUGGAGACUGCAAGGCUAGAAUCUGGCAGAGGGGGGUAGAAUUCCACGUGUAGCAGUGAAAUGCGUAGAGAUGUGGAGGAACACCGAUGGCGAAGGCAGCCCCCCGGGUCAAGAUUGACGCUCAUGCACGAAAGCGUGGGGAGCAAACAGG
Molecule: ribosomal RNA, 253 nt
Filed under: uncultured bacterium
Lineage: Bacteria
Description: partial 16S ribosomal RNA
Rfam family: Bacterial small subunit ribosomal RNA
Source: RNAcentral